AAGUCGUAACAAGGUUUCCGUAGGUGAACCUGCGGAAGGAUCAUCACGAGAGGGACGCCGCAAGGCGCACCACAACACUGUGUUGCCGAGCGAUGAGUGCAGUAGGCAAGCACCUACUGCACACGUCUAUUGACACUAUGCAAACCGAACUAGCUGAAUAGCAAGCAACCAACAAACAAAACUGUUAGCAACGGAUCACUUGGUUCUC
RNAcentral lists this unclassified non-coding RNA (208 nucleotides) under fungal sp. RNAcentral's name for it is "partial internal transcribed spacer region". The stretch from base 1 to 46 matches the Rfam family "Eukaryotic small subunit ribosomal RNA", at positions 1786 to 1831 of the family's 1831-position model. Lineage: Eukaryota; Fungi. The record is from RNAcentral.